This 497-nucleotide ribosomal RNA is filed under the name uncultured bacterium. RNAcentral describes it as "partial 16S ribosomal RNA". It matches the Rfam family "Bacterial small subunit ribosomal RNA", at positions 28 to 507 of the family's 1533-position model. The record is from RNAcentral.
GAUGAACGCUGGCGGCGUGCCUAAUACAUGCAAGUCGAGCGAACAGACUAGAAACUUGUUUCUAUUAUGUUAGCGGCGAACGGGUGAGUAACACGUGGGGAACCUACCUAUGAGACUGGGAUAACUUCUGGAAACCGGAGCUAAUACCGGAUGAUAUCUUUAAACGCAUGUUUCAAAAUUGAAAGACGGUCUUGCUUUCACUUAUGGAUGGAUCGGCUCUUCAUUAGCUAGUUGUUAAGGUAACGGAUUACCAAGGCAACGAUGCAUAGCCGCCCUGAGAGGGUGAUCGGCCCCAUUGGACCGGGAACAGGGUCAAGCUCCCUCCGGGAGGCACCAGUAGGAAAUCUCCGGCAAUGGGCGAAAGCCUGCCGGAGAAACGCGGGGUGAGUGAUAAAGGUCUCGGGUUCUAAAACCUCUGUUAUUAGGGAAGACCAUAUGUGUAAGUAAAUGUGCACCUAUUGACGGUAACUAAUCAGAAAGCCACGGCUAACUACGUG